UACGUAGGGCGCAAGCGUUGUCCGGAAUUAUUGGGCGUAAAGAGCUCGUAGGCGGCCAACUAAGUCAGACGUGAAAUCCCUCAGCUUAACUGGGGAACUGCGUCUGAUACUGGAUGGCUUGGAUUCGGGAGAGGAAUGCGGAAUUCCAGGUGUAGCGGUGAAAUGCGUAGAUAUCUGGAGGAACACCGGUGGCGAAGGCGGCAUCCUGGACCGGCAUUGACGCUGAGGAGCGAAAGCCAGGGGAGCAAACGGG
RNAcentral lists this ribosomal RNA (253 nucleotides) under uncultured bacterium. RNAcentral describes it as "partial 16S ribosomal RNA". It matches the Rfam family "Bacterial small subunit ribosomal RNA", at positions 524 to 776 of the family's 1533-position model. The record is from RNAcentral.